GACGAACGCUGGCGGCGUGCUUAACACAUGCAAGUCGAACGGAAAGGCCCCUUUGGGGGUACUCGAGUGGCGAACGGGUGAGUAACACGUGAGUAACCUGCCCUUGACUUCGGGAUAACUUCAGGAAACUGGGGCUAAUACCGGAUAGGAAUCCUUGCUGCAUGGUGGGGGUUGGAAAGCUUCGGCGGUUUUGGAUGGACUCGCGGCUUAUCAGCUUGGUGGUGGGGUAGUGGCUUACCAAGGCUUUGACGGGUAGCCGGCCUGAGAGGGCGACCGGCCACAGUGGGACUGAGAUACGGCCCAGACUCCGACGGGAGGCAGCAGUGGGGAAGAUUGCACAAUGGGCGGAAGCCUGAUGCAGCAACGCCGCGUGCGGGAUGACGGCCUUCGGGUUGUAAACCGCUUUCAGCAGGGGCGAAGCUUGUGGUGACGGUACCUGCAGAAGAAGCACCAGCUAACUACGUG
RNAcentral lists this ribosomal RNA (465 nucleotides) under uncultured bacterium. RNAcentral's name for it is "partial 16S ribosomal RNA". It matches the Rfam family "Bacterial small subunit ribosomal RNA", at positions 28 to 507 of the family's 1533-position model. The record is from RNAcentral.